UUUAUUUUAAUAUCCCUUGAUUCUUUUAUUUUUUCUUUUUACUUUCACUUCCGAAUUUUUAUAUAAAAAAAUUAUGAUAAAAUUUUAUAAUUUCUUUUACUCCCACCUUAUAUUUUUUAUUAAAAAAAAUAUAUGAAUCAAAAUUUUUAAUUAUAUGUUUUAAAACUUUCAGUGGGUUGAUAAUUAUAAUAAAAAUUUUGAUCCAUAUAUUU
This 212-nucleotide long non-coding RNA is filed under the name Actinidia chinensis (golden kiwifruit). Its description in RNAcentral is "long non-coding RNA (ACHI_LNC008881)". The record is from RNAcentral. Lineage: Eukaryota; Viridiplantae; Streptophyta; Magnoliopsida; Ericales; Actinidiaceae.